RNAcentral lists this ribosomal RNA (198 nucleotides) under uncultured Lactobacillus sp. Its description in RNAcentral is "partial 16S ribosomal RNA". It matches the Rfam family "Bacterial small subunit ribosomal RNA", at positions 335 to 525 of the family's 1533-position model. Lineage: Bacteria; Bacillati; Bacillota; Bacilli; Lactobacillales; Lactobacillaceae. The record is from RNAcentral.
ACUCCUACGGGAGGCAGCAGUAGGGAAUCUUCCACAAUGGACGCAAGUCUGAUGGAGCAACGCCGCGUGAGUGAAGAAGGGUUUCGGCUCGUAAAGCUCUGUUGGUAGUGAAGAAAGAUAGAGGUAGUAACUGGCCUUUAUUUGACGGUAAUUACUUAGAAAGUCACGGCUAACUACGUGCCAGCAGCCGCGGUAAUA